Molecule: ribosomal RNA, 229 nt
Filed under: uncultured bacterium
Lineage: Bacteria
Description: partial 16S ribosomal RNA
Rfam family: Bacterial small subunit ribosomal RNA
Source: RNAcentral
UCGUCCGGAAUUAUUGGGCGUAAAGAGCGCGCAGGUGGUUGAUUAAGUCUGAUGUGAAAGCCCACGGCUUAACCGUGGAGGGUCAUUGGAAACUGGUCGACUUGAGUGCAGAAGAGGGAAGCGGAAUUCCAUGUGUAGCGGUGAAAUGCGUAGAGAUAUGGAGGAACACCAGUGGCGAAGGCGGCUUCCUGGUCUGUAACUGACACUGAGGCGCGAAAGCGUGGGGAGC